AAUCAACGCUGGCGGCGUGCCUAACACAUGCAAGUCGAACGCGAAAAGGGCUUCGGCCCUGAGUAGAGUGGCGUCCGGGUGAGUAACGCGUGGGUAAUCUACCCUCGGGUGGGGAAUAACUAGUCGAAAGAUUAGCUAAUACCGCAUAAUGCAGCGGCUCGACAUCGAGACAGUUGUUAAAGCAGAAAUGCGCCUGAGGAGGAGCCUGCGUCUGAUUAGCUAGUUGGUGAGGUAAUGGCUCACCAAGGCUGCGAUCAGUAGCUGGUCUGAGAGGACGGCCAGCCACAAUGGCACUGAGACACGGUCCAGACUCCUACGGGAGGCAGCAGUAGGGAAUAUUGGACAAUGGGGGCAACCCUGAUCCAGCCAUGCCGCGUGAGUGAAGAAGGCCCUCGGGUUGUAAAGCUCUUUUGUCCGGAAAGAAAGCAAUCGGUUAAUACCCGGUUGUUCUGACGGUACCGGAAGAAUAAGCACCGGCUAACUUCGUGCC
This 490-nucleotide ribosomal RNA is filed under the name uncultured bacterium. RNAcentral's name for it is "partial 16S ribosomal RNA". It matches the Rfam family "Bacterial small subunit ribosomal RNA", at positions 32 to 509 of the family's 1533-position model. The record is from RNAcentral.